GACGAACGCUGGCGGCGUGCUUAACACAUGCAAGUCGAACGGAAAGGCCCUGCUUUUGUGGGGUGCUCGAGUGGCGAAUGGGUGAGUAACACGUGAGUAACCUGCCCUUGACUUUGGGAUAACUUCAGGAAACUGGGGCUAAUACCGGAUAGGGGCUCCUGCUGCAUGGUGGGGGUUGGAAAGUUUCGGCGGUUGGGGAUGGACUCGCGGCUUAUCAGCUUGUUGGUGGGGUAGUGGCUUACCAAGGCUUUGACGGGUAGCCGGCCUGAGAGGGUGACCGGCCACAUUGGGACUGAGAUACGGCCCAGACUCCUACGGGAGGCAGCAGUGGGGAAUAUUGCACAAUGGGCGGAAGCCUGAUGCAGCAACGCCGCGUGCGGGAUGACGGCCUUCGGGUUGUAAACCGCUUUCGCCUGUGACGAAGCGUGAGUGACGGUAAUGGGUAAAGAAGCACCGGCUAACUACGU
This 467-nucleotide ribosomal RNA is filed under the name uncultured bacterium. Its description in RNAcentral is "partial 16S ribosomal RNA". It matches the Rfam family "Bacterial small subunit ribosomal RNA", at positions 28 to 506 of the family's 1533-position model. The record is from RNAcentral.